RNAcentral lists this small nuclear RNA (133 nucleotides) under Fukomys damarensis (Damara mole-rat). Its description in RNAcentral is "U2 spliceosomal RNA". The stretch from base 1 to 93 matches the Rfam family "U2 spliceosomal RNA". From Rfam's summary of the family: U2 is a small nuclear RNA (snRNA) component of the spliceosome (involved in pre-mRNA splicing). Complementary binding between U2 snRNA (in an area lying towards the 5' end but 3' to hairpin I) and the branchpoint sequence (BPS) of the intron results the bulging out of an unpaired adenosine, on the BPS, which initiates a nucleophilic attack at the intronic 5' splice site, thus starting the first of two transesterification reactions that mediate splicing. Lineage: Eukaryota; Metazoa; Chordata; Mammalia; Rodentia; Bathyergidae. The record is from Rfam by way of RNAcentral.
AUCGCUUCUCGGCCUUUUGGCUAAGAUCAAGUGUAGUAUAACGACUUCUUCAACUUGUUGGUUGUUAAGAGGUGAGGUGUGUGGUUACCUAAAUGUUCAUUAACAGAUGAAAUGUAUAAAGAAAAUAUAGCAA